This 296-nucleotide signal recognition particle RNA is filed under the name Aotus nancymaae (Ma's night monkey). Its description in RNAcentral is "Metazoan signal recognition particle RNA (ENSANAG00000012960.1)". It matches the Rfam family "Metazoan signal recognition particle RNA". Rfam says of the family: The signal recognition particle (SRP) is a universally conserved ribonucleoprotein. It is involved in the co-translational targeting of proteins to membranes. The record is from RNAcentral. Lineage: Eukaryota; Metazoa; Chordata; Mammalia; Primates; Aotidae.
GCCAGGCAUGGUGGCACCUGCCUGUAGUCUCAGCUACUCGGGAGGCUGAUGUGGGAGGAUCUCUUGAGCCCAGGAGUUCUGGACUGUAGUGCACUAUGCCGAUUGGGUCUGCACUAAGUUUGGCAUCAAUAUGGCGACUCCCGGGAGCGGGGGACCACCAGGUUGCCUAAGGAGGGGUGAACCGGCCCAGGUCGGAAACGGAGCAGGUCAAAACUCCUGUGCUGAUCAGUAGUGGGAUUGCGCCUGUGAAUAGCCACUGCACUCCAGCCUGGGCAACAUAGUGAGACCCCAUCUCU